ACGCUGGCGGCAGGCCUAAGACAUGCAAGUCGAGCGAGAAAGCCCUUCGGGGUGAGUACAGCGGCGGACGGGUGAGUAACGCGUAGGAAUCUACCCAGUAGUGGGGGACAACUAGUGGAAACGCUAGCUAAUACCGCAUACGCCCUAAGGGGGAAAGCGGGGGAUCUUCGGACCUCGUGCUAUUGGAUGAGCCUGCGUAAGAUUAGCUUGUUGGUGAGGUAAUGGCUCACCAAGGCUACGAUCUUUAGCUGGUCUGAGAGGAUGAUCAGCCACACCGGGACUGAGACACGGCCCGGACUCCUACGGGAGGCAGCAGUCGGGAAUAUUGCGCAAUGGGGGAAACCCUGACGCAGCCAUGCCGCGUGUGUGAAGAAGGCCCUAGGGUUGUAAAGCACUUUCAAUUGGGAGGAAAAGCUAAUGGUUAAUAACCAUUAGCCCUGACGUUACCUUUAGAAGAAGCACCGGCUAACUCCGUGCCAGCAGCCGCGGUAAUACGGAGGGUGCAAGCGUUAAUCGGAAUUACUGGGCGUAAAGCGCGCGUAGGCGGUUUUUUAAGUCGAAUGUGAAAGCCCCGGGCUCAACCUGGGAACUGCAUCCGAUACUGGAUGACUAGAAUGCGGGAGAGGGAGGUAGAAUUCCAUGUGUAGCAGUGAAAUGCGUAGAUAUAUGGAGGAAUACCAGUGGCGAAGGCGGCCUCCUGGCUCGACAUUGACGCUGAGGUGCGAAAGCGUGGGGAGCAAACGGGAUUAGAUACCCCGGUAGUCCACGCCGUAAACGAUGUCUACUAGCUGUAGGGGUACUUGAGACCUUUGUAGCGCAGCUAACGCCAUAAGUAGACCGCCUGGGGAGUACGGCCACCCGGUUAAUACUUCAAAUGGA
This 879-nucleotide ribosomal RNA is filed under the name gamma proteobacterium SCGC AAA300-N14. RNAcentral describes it as "SSU rRNA". It matches the Rfam family "Bacterial small subunit ribosomal RNA", at positions 33 to 909 of the family's 1533-position model. Lineage: Bacteria; Pseudomonadati; Pseudomonadota; Gammaproteobacteria. The record is from RNAcentral.